Long non-coding RNA from Varroa destructor (honeybee mite), 273 nucleotides. RefSeq lists it as uncharacterized. The record is from RefSeq and is a predicted model, not a curated record. NCBI's taxonomy places the organism in Eukaryota, Metazoa, Arthropoda, Arachnida, Mesostigmata, Varroidae.
GCAUUUCAUUAUUCUAUUUUCGUACAAACACGUGCUGCCUACGACAGCAGAAUACGCGCUAUCCUUCCAUUGUACCGCGCCAUUUCAUCGAACUGGAUGAGACCUUGGGCUCACGUUAUGAAUUCAAGCCUAAUUGGAGCAGGAUGUCAAGUCAACGGGAUUGAGGGAAUCUCUGUUCACCAAAUCGGCUUACUACAUGCUUAUUUACCCACGAGAUUCGUUCGUAGUGGUAAAGGAGAAUAACUUCGAAUAACUGUGCCGCGCCCAAAGCGU